RNAcentral lists this small RNA (155 nucleotides) under Butyrivibrio hungatei. RNAcentral's name for it is "Clostridiales-1 RNA". It matches the Rfam family "Clostridiales-1 RNA". Lineage: Bacteria; Bacillati; Bacillota; Clostridia; Lachnospirales; Lachnospiraceae. The record is from Rfam by way of RNAcentral.
UGAUAUAGGGGAUUAAGAUGAAGUAGUCUGCAGUGCUUGCACUAUGCAGACUACUUCAGUUUAAGACCCGAACAUACAUGAGGAAGUAGCGCGGCAGCGCGGAUUCCGAAUGUAUGUAGCAUGUCGAGAGCGCAAGCGGAGACAUGCGUAUAUCA